AGAUUGAACGCUGGCGGCAGGCCUAACACAUGCAAGUCGAGCGGUAGAGAGGUGCUUGCAUCUCUUGAGAGCGGCGGACGGGUGAGUAAUGCCUAGGAAUCUGCCUAGUGGGUGGGGGAUAACGUUCGGAAACGGACGCUAAUACCGCAUACGUCCUACGGGAGAAAGCGGGGGACCUUCGGGCCUCGCGCCAUUAGAUGAGCCUAGGUCGGAUUAGCUAGUUGGUGAGGUAAUGGCUCACCAAGGCGACGAUCCGUAACUGGUCUGAGAGGAUGAUCAGUCACACUGGAACUGAGACA
RNAcentral lists this ribosomal RNA (299 nucleotides) under uncultured soil bacterium. RNAcentral's name for it is "partial 16S ribosomal RNA". It matches the Rfam family "Bacterial small subunit ribosomal RNA", at positions 26 to 326 of the family's 1533-position model. The record is from RNAcentral.